Molecule: long non-coding RNA, 480 nt
Organism: Syzygium oleosum
Lineage: Eukaryota; Viridiplantae; Streptophyta; Magnoliopsida; Myrtales; Myrtaceae
Exons: 2
Source: RefSeq, a predicted model, not a curated record
UGGCCAUAAAGAUUUAAUUUUGGUGAUGUCGGGUUGUUGAGUGGGCUAUGGUUUGUCUUGUUGUAGGAAGCGUGGGGAAUUAUUUUGCCAGGAAACAAGAAAGGCUGUGGGACUCUGCUGGAACCUCUGCAACUGGUUGUCUUGUUUGAGGUGGGAGGAGAAAAGUUGCAGAGGAGUAAAAGACACAGUGUACAAGAAAAGUCAGGUCUGUGCAGCAGUGUUGGACAGCAUUUGACCGGGGCCCAAUUCAUCAUCAUCACCCAAUGUUAGGAGAUUACAAGGUCAAGAAAUGUGUAACCAGCUUGCGUUUUUUUGCGUUGUGGAAGUACUGUCUUGUUCCGUUUUUCUCUCCGUUUGCUUAGCAUUGGGAUUGGGACUCCAACUAUCAUAAUUUGGCAUUUCAUAAGGCCCCCAAAACAGUUGUAAUCAUGUGAGCUGCUAAUGUGUCUUCAGGCAAAAGCAUCCAAUUCAGUGGGGACC